This 660-nucleotide ribosomal RNA is filed under the name Halogeometricum borinquense. RNAcentral's name for it is "bacterial SSU rRNA". It matches the Rfam family "Archaeal small subunit ribosomal RNA", at positions 29 to 692 of the family's 1478-position model. The record is from RNAcentral. Lineage: Archaea; Methanobacteriati; Methanobacteriota; Halobacteria; Halobacteriales; Haloferacaceae.
GCAAUGGGAUCGAUUUAGCCAUGCUAGUUGCACGAGUUCACACUCGUAGCAUAUAGCUCAGUAACACGUGGUCAAGCUACCCUGCAGACACGGACAACCUCGGGAAACUGAGGCUAAUCCGCGAUACCGAUCCCACGCUGGAAUGCCGGGAUCCACAAACGCUCCGGCGCUGCAGGAUGCGGCUGCGGCCGAUUAGGUAGACGGUGGGGUAACGGCCCACCGUGCCGAUAAUCGGUACGGGUUGUGAGAGCAAGAGCCCGGAGACGGAAUCUGAGACAAGAUUCCGGGCCCUACGGGGCGCAGCAGGCGCGAAACCUUUACACUGCACGCAAGUGCGAUAAGGGGACUCCGAGUGCGAGGGCAUAUAGUCCUCGCUUUUGAGAACCGUAAGGCGGUUCUCGAAUAAGAGCUGGGCAAGACCGGUGCCAGCCGCCGCGGUAAUACCGGCAGCUCAAGUGAUGGCCAAUCUUAUUGGGCCUAAAGCGUCCGUAACUGGCCACGAAAGUCCGUCGGGAAAUCCAUCUGCCCAACAGAUGGGCGUCCGGCGGAAACUUCGUGGCUUGGGACCGGAAGGCUCGAGGGGUACGUCUGGGGUAGGAGUGAAAUCCCGUAAUCCUGGACGGACCGCCGAUGGCGAAAGCACCUCGAGAAGACGGAUCC